GUUUGAAGAUUUCAUCUUCCUGAUCCCGCAAUGUCUGGGUCCGAGAGGUCCGGGUCAGUGGCACGGGACCGAGGACUGCUCGCUGCUGCAUCCUAGGGGAGCUGAGGUGGAGCUCUGCACCCUCCUCAGGUAGCGAGACCCGUGAGGACACGGACUCCACCGAACCUAUUUUCCCACUGCCUCCCCCGUUCUGGUGCCACCGGCUCUGCCCAGGGUCUUGGGAAAUACGGGGAGAAAGCUUCUGGGCAGCAGCCUUCUUGGACAAGCUGAUCUGUGAGUCGAGUUUCUUAAGGAAAUCGGAGGCAGAAAGGUCAUGCGUGGGUGUGGAGGUUCCCUGGUGAGGCGGAAGGGCUUCGCCGUUGGCGCGGCCUGAACCUGGCUCUUGACUCUUCUUCGAUGAAUGUGAACCAACGCCAUCCCUACUUGCUUGUACCCCUUCCUCCCCAUCAUCUUCCUCCUCAGAAUCCAAGCCAUUAAAUAGGUCUCUGGGC
Long non-coding RNA from Mesocricetus auratus (golden hamster), 491 nucleotides. RefSeq lists it as uncharacterized. The transcript is spliced from 3 exons. NCBI's taxonomy places the organism in Eukaryota, Metazoa, Chordata, Mammalia, Rodentia, Cricetidae. The record is from RefSeq and is a predicted model, not a curated record.